RNAcentral lists this long non-coding RNA (226 nucleotides) under Brassica napus (rape). RNAcentral's name for it is "long non-coding RNA (BNAP_LNC022509)". Lineage: Eukaryota; Viridiplantae; Streptophyta; Magnoliopsida; Brassicales; Brassicaceae. The record is from RNAcentral.
UCCUAAUUCAUGCUUAUUUGAUAUCAUUCUAGGUUUGGAGCAGGUAAAAGAGUAAAGAAGAGAGUGCCAUGAAGGAAGAAGUCAUUUUAGAAUAUCUAACGCAGAACAUCCAGUCGGAUCAAUCCGAAGGUUGUUCCCAAAGAGAGCAAGCGACUGACUGUUCCCGACUAUUAAGGAAACCUCCAAGAUUUCAGGGGUUUGCCCUAGAUUUUCUCUCCUUUCUCUU